Molecule: ribosomal RNA, 169 nt
Filed under: Hoplolatilus purpureus (purple sand tilefish)
Lineage: Eukaryota; Metazoa; Chordata; Actinopteri; Malacanthidae
Description: partial 12S rRNA
Source: RNAcentral
CACCGCGGUUAUACGAGUGACCCAAGUUGUUGAACCACGGCGUAAAGAGUGGUUAAGAGAUAUUUUACACUAAAGCCGAACACUUACAGAGCCGUCAUACGCCCCCGAAAGUAAGAAGCCCAACCACGAAAGUGGCUUUAUAUCAUCUGACUCCACGUAAGCUAUGAUA